GCCACUGUGGCUUAGCUGGUAGAGCACCUGAUUCGUAAUCAGGCGGUCGAGAGUUCAAAUCUCUCCAGUGGCU
Molecule: transfer RNA, 73 nt
Filed under: Candidatus Thalassarchaeaceae archaeon
Lineage: Archaea; Methanobacteriati; Thermoplasmatota; Candidatus Poseidoniia; Candidatus Poseidoniales; Candidatus Thalassarchaeaceae
Description: tRNA-Thr
Rfam family: tRNA
About the family: Transfer RNA (tRNA) molecules are approximately 80 nucleotides in length. Their secondary structure includes four short double-helical elements and three loops (D, anti-codon, and T loops).
Source: RNAcentral